UGUAGGAGUGAGCCUGCUCGCGAUAGCGGUAUGUCAGGUUAAGAAAUGUCGGCUGACACACCGCUAUCGCGAGCAGGCUCACUCCUACA
This 89-nucleotide unclassified non-coding RNA is filed under the name Pseudomonas moraviensis. Lineage: Bacteria; Pseudomonadati; Pseudomonadota; Gammaproteobacteria; Pseudomonadales; Pseudomonadaceae. The record is from RNAcentral.